This 293-nucleotide ribosomal RNA is filed under the name uncultured bacterium. Its description in RNAcentral is "partial 16S ribosomal RNA". It matches the Rfam family "Bacterial small subunit ribosomal RNA", at positions 335 to 642 of the family's 1533-position model. The record is from RNAcentral.
GGGCCUACGGGACGCAGCAGUGGGGAAUAUUGGGCAAUGGGCGCAAGCCUGACCCAGCAACGCCGCGUGAAGGAAGAAGGCUUUCGGGUUGUAAACUUCUUUUAUCAGGGACGAAGCAAGUGACGGUACCUGAUGAAUAAGCCACGGCUAACUACGUGCCAGCAGCCGCGGUAAUACGUAGGUGGCAAGCGUUAUCCGGAUUUACUGGGUGUAAAGGGCGUGUAGGCGGGAGUGCAAGUCAGAUGUGAAAACUAUGGGCUCACCCCAUAGCCUGCAUUUGAAACUGUACUUCU